RNAcentral lists this ribosomal RNA (838 nucleotides) under Morganella morganii. RNAcentral describes it as "partial 23S ribosomal RNA". It matches the Rfam family "Bacterial large subunit ribosomal RNA", at positions 2111 to 2925 of the family's 2925-position model. Lineage: Bacteria; Pseudomonadati; Pseudomonadota; Gammaproteobacteria; Enterobacterales; Morganellaceae. The record is from RNAcentral.
UUGACACUGAACAUUGAGCCUUGAUGUGUAGGAUAGGUGGGAGGCAACGAAGUGUGGACGCCAGUCUGCGCGGAGCCAUCCUUGAAAUACCACCCUUUAACGUUUGAUGUUCUAACCCGGGUCCAUAAUCUGGAUCGGGGACCGUGUCUGGUGGGUAGUUUGACUGGGGCGGUCUCCUCCCAAAGAGUAACGGAGGAGCACGAAGGUUGGCUAAGCAUGGUCGGACAUCAUGCGGUUAGUGCAAAGGCAUAAGCCAGCUUGACUGCGAGAGUGACGGCUCGAGCAGGUACGAAAGUAGGUCUUAGUGAUCCGGUGGUUCUGAAUGGAAGGGCCAUCGCUCAACGGAUAAAAGGUACUCCGGGGAUAACAGGCUGAUACCGCCCAAGAGUUCAUAUCGACGGCGGUGUUUGGCACCUCGAUGUCGGCUCAUCACAUCCUGGGGCUGAAGUAGGUCCCAAGGGUAUGGCUGUUCGCCAUUUAAAGUGGUACGCGAGCUGGGUUUAGAACGUCGUGAGACAGUUCGGUCCCUAUCUGCCGUGGGCGCUGGAAGAUUGAGAGGGGUUGCUCCUAGUACGAGAGGACCGGAGUGAACGCACCACUGGUGUACGGGUUGUGAUGCCAAUUGCAUUGCCCGGUAGCUAAGUGCGGAAGAGAUAACCGCUGAAAGCAUCUAAGCGGGAAACUUGCCUCGAGAUGAGUCUUCCCUGACCCUUUAAGGGUCCUGAAGGAACGUUUGAGACUAAGACGUUGAUAGGCUGGGUGUGUAAGCGCAGCGAUGCGUUGAGCUGACCAGUACUAAUGAACCGUGAGGCUUAACCUGACAACACCGAAGGUGUUU